CGGUGUUUAACUGGCGUGAUGUGGGACGUCCUACCGGUGGGCUUAGCCUCGCGAGGGGCGGCCCAACUAAUAUCCCGUCGCGGUGCUCUUUACUGAGUGUCGAGUCGGGCCGGUACGUUUACUUUGAACAAAUUAGAGUGCUUAAAGCAGGCUAUCCUCGCCUGAAUACUGCGUGCAUGGAAUAAUGGAAUAGGACCUCGGUUCUAUUUUGUUGGUUUUCGGAACCCCGAGGUAAUGAUUAAUAGGGACAGAUGGGGGCAUUCGUAUUGCGACGUUAGAGGUGAAAUUCUUGGAUCGUCGCAAGACGGACAGAAGCGAAAGCAUUUGCCAAAAAUGUUUUCAUUAAUCAAGAACGAAAGUUAGAGGUUCGAAGGCGAUCAGAUACCGCCCUAGUUCUAACCAUAAACGAUGCCAGCUAGCGAUCCGCCGAAGUUCCUCCGAUGACUCGGCGGGCAGCUUCCGGGAAACCAAAGCUUUUGGGUUCCGGGGGAAGUAUGGUUGCAAAGCUGAAACUUAAAGGAAUUGACGGAAGGGCACCACCAGGAGUGGGAGCCUGCGGCUUAAUUUGACUCAACACGGGAAACCUCACCAGGCCCAGACACCGGAAGGAUUGACAGAUUGAUAGCUCUUUCUUGAUUCGGUGGGGUGGUGGUGCAUGGCCGUUCUUAGUUGGUGGAGCGAUUUGUCUGGUUAAUUCCGAUAACGAACGAGACUCUAGCCUGCUAAAUAGGCGUACCUUAUGGUAUCGCGAAGGCCCCCGGCUUCGGCCGGUGGGUUUUUACUACCAACGUACAAACAAAUCUUCUUAGAGGGACAGGCGG
Molecule: ribosomal RNA, 821 nt
Filed under: uncultured eukaryote
Lineage: Eukaryota
Description: SSU rRNA
Rfam family: Eukaryotic small subunit ribosomal RNA
Source: RNAcentral